Molecule: small RNA, 75 nt
Filed under: Franconibacter pulveris
Lineage: Bacteria; Pseudomonadati; Pseudomonadota; Gammaproteobacteria; Enterobacterales; Enterobacteriaceae
Description: isrK
Rfam family: isrK Hfq binding RNA
Source: RNAcentral
GCGUCUGCAAAAUCAGACGCCGGGAUUGGCGUCCUGAAAACUGAAUGGAGAUACAAGACGCGCUGCGUCUUACGU